UAAAAGAACAGACAAGCUGAAGAAAGCCAGUAGGCAAAGUCUGGGACUGUCUGUUACUGUUGUUAUCUCUAAGCAACCAAAAGCAUCACUUGUAUAGUUCUGUUUGGAAAAAAAUAUGUUCUCUUACACAUGGACUGGUGUCAUUCACAGCACUGUAAAUAAGAGCUAUAUGCAUGAAUGGGUAGGAGUCUCUCUCCACAUCGCUAAAUGAAAAUCCACUGCAGGAAAAUGCUAAAUAAAAUCUAAUGUCAUGUACUUCUACUUUCAGUGCCUGCUUCCAUUGUACACAGUAUAGAAAAAGCAUGUGACAGAGCUAAGUAACAUGCUUUGCUUUCAUCCUAUUUUAAAUUUGAUUACUCCAGCUUUUAUAUUGCUGACGCAUAGCAGGCACCUGAUUUAUAAUAUGAUAUUAAAAGGGAAAUUACUCCUACAAGUAGUCUUAAGUAGCACUUACUUCUAGCCUCUGCUUCUUCCAGACAGGAGCCUCCUGACAGACCUCGGAUUACAAGAUGGAUUUGCCUAAAAUAACCUCUGAUUUAAUAAAUCAGCAAGAAGAAUAAUCAGCAGCAAAAUUAGGACAUUAGGACACUGUACUUUGGACCAGGCUGUCCAAUACCUGGCUAGAUUCACUGCUGCCAAUGGGUACAUGAGGUUCCUUUGUCUAAGGAUCUGGUCGAAUAUUUCUUGAUAUUAAUCUGUGCAAUUUUUGGCAAGGGGAGAGCACAGGAACAGACUGCAGCUUUAUUCUCGUUACUCAAAGGCAGGGCUGUACAAGAAUCCUCCCAGCUCUUAGUAGAAGACAGAUUUGCUUUCCUUGGUGCCCAAAGGGCACAGAAGAGUUGCAUUAUUCAGUGUUCAGAAUGUUCCCAAAAAACCCUAAAAUGCCCACUAGUGUUCAGCCAGGCUGUAAGGCUGUUUGUAUCCAAGCUCUCAUAAAGUAUCCUCUGGAGACCACUUUUGCCUUCUUUAGAGCCCUUUUAUACCUUAAGGAUGGCAAAGACAAGCACUAUUAUGACAGAUUAUCUGUUCUUUGUCAGUCUAGGCUGAGGUCCUUUGGAAGUGACCCGAACAGAAGAGCACUGGGCCACUGUGUUUUCUGGAGUCUGGAUGACCGUCACGCUGAAAGUGAAGAAGGCUUUUGCUAGGUUCUCAAGUUGAAUGUUUGAAUUGCAUCUGUCUGGAAAACAUCAACAGCUUUUGAAAAUCAAGAAAAGUUGGGAAAAAUCAUGAACACAGAGAACUGAUGAAAGGUUUUAAAUAAUAAUUAUUUUAUGUAUAACAUCAUACCUGAAUUCAUUUGCUUGCAGGGAAGUCAAACGAAGGAGUAAUAAAUGACAACAAAUCCAUACCUAUAAAAUGAAC
This 1362-nucleotide long non-coding RNA is filed under the name Cyanistes caeruleus (blue tit). RNAcentral's name for it is "lncRNA (ENSCCEG00000009884.1)". The record is from RNAcentral. Lineage: Eukaryota; Metazoa; Chordata; Aves; Passeriformes; Paridae.